Podarcis lilfordi (Lilford's wall lizard) is the source of this 72-nucleotide non-coding RNA. The record is from the annotation of a GenBank genome assembly. Lineage: Eukaryota; Metazoa; Chordata; Lepidosauria; Squamata; Lacertidae.
CCAAGGGCUACCUCUGUUGGUAGAGCGUGAGACUCUUAAUCUCUGGGUUGUGUGUUCGAGUCCCACGUUGGG